GGGUUGUGAGGUUAAGCGACUAAGUGUACACGGUGGAUGCCCUGGCAGUCAGAGGCGAUGAAGGACGUGCUAAUCUGCGAUAAGCGUCGGUAAGGUGAUAUGAACCGUUAUAACCGGCGAUUUCCGAAUGGGGAAACCCAGUGUGUUUCGACACACUAUCAUUAACUGAAUCCAUAGGUUAAUGAGGCGAACCGGGGGAACUGAAACAUCUAAGUACCCCGAGGAAAAGAAAUCAACCGAGAUUCCCCCAGUAGCGGCGAGCGAACGGGGAGGAGCCCAGAGCCUGAAUCAGUGUGUGUGUUAGUGGAAGCGUCUGGAAAGGCGCGCGAUACAGGGUGACAGCCCCGUACACAAAAAUACACAUAUUGUGAGCUCGAUGAGUAGGGCGGGACACGUGGUAUCCUGUCUGAAUAUGGGGGGACCAUCCUCCAAGGCUAAAUACUCCUGACUGACCGAUAGUGAACCAGUACCGUGAGGGAAAGGCGAAAAGAACCCCGGCGAGGGGAGUGAAAAAGAACCUGAAACCGUGUACGUACAAGCAGUGGGAGCACGCUUAGGCGUGUGACUGCGUACCUUUUGUAUAAUGGGUCAGCGACUUAUAUUCUGUAGCAAGGUUAACCGAAUAGGGGAGCCGAAGGGAAACCGAGUCUUAACUGGGCGUUAAGUUGCAGGGUAUAGACCCGAAACCCGGUGAUCUAGCCAUGGGCAGGUUGAAGGUUGGGUAACACUAACUGGAGGACCGAACCGACUAAUGUUGAAAAAUUAGCGGAUGACUUGUGGCUGGGGGUGAAAGGCCAAUCAAACCGGGAGAUAGCUGGUUCUCCCCGAAAGCUAUUUAGGUAGCGCCUCGUGAAUUCAUCUCCGGGGGUAGAGCACUGUUUCGGCAAGGGGGUCAUCCCGACUUACCAACCCGAUGCAAACUGCG
Molecule: ribosomal RNA, 925 nt
Filed under: Shigella sonnei
Lineage: Bacteria; Pseudomonadati; Pseudomonadota; Gammaproteobacteria; Enterobacterales; Enterobacteriaceae
Description: partial 23S ribosomal RNA
Rfam family: Bacterial large subunit ribosomal RNA
Source: RNAcentral